UUCGGGUGCUGUCCAAUGUUAAAUUAACUGGUGACAGAGAUAGGUUGGUUUGGAAGCACAAGAAAAAGAGACAUUUACAGUAAAAUCUUACUAUGAACACAUUAUGAAAGGCAGCAUAUGCAGAUUCAAUAAUUUUCUUGCCAACCAGAUUUGGAAAGUUCAGGCCCCUCCGAAGACUGUUUUUUUUUGCUUGGGAGGCCAGAAGGAAUUGUAUUUUAACUGUGGAUAAUUUGGUGAGAAGGGGUAUGGUGCUGGUGAACAUAUACUGUAUGUGCAAGAGUGAGGCUGAAACUUGCAAUCAUCUUAUUUUUCAUUGUCCUGCUGUGUACAAGUUAUGGUGCUCAAUCU
RNAcentral lists this long non-coding RNA (348 nucleotides) under Carica papaya (papaya). Its description in RNAcentral is "long non-coding RNA (CPAP_LNC014805)". The record is from RNAcentral. Lineage: Eukaryota; Viridiplantae; Streptophyta; Magnoliopsida; Brassicales; Caricaceae.